UUUGGCAAGUGAUGGCACUGGCGGCGUGCCUAAUAAGCUUUGUUGGUGAUGUGUGGAAUGACAACAAUACAGAGUACAGCAAGAUUGCACUUAAUACAGUCAUGUCAUGCUACCAAGAGGCUAAAAAAAAUACCAAGUUUAAUUUCUUCAACAGUCUACAGGGUACUAACAAACAAAAGUAUGUCAUUUCAUUGAUCUGGAAUGACUCACAGUAUUAUUACCAAUGUCUUCUUCUCAUUCGCUUAGCCAAUACUUCUUCAUGAUCUUUGAAGCCAUCUCGCCAAGGCCCGGAUCGGUCUUCAGAGCUUCAAUUUUCUGGAAUCCACCAAAGUCUUUGAUCAUUUGUGCGUGAAUAUUGAUCACACCAACCUUCUCAGCAUCUCCUGCCUGAAGGAUAUUUUUGAGCCCCCUAAGACAUGGACCAGUGCAAACAAACAAUAGAUGAUUACAAAACACUUCAAAGCAGCCUUCAUUCACCAUGUACCUGCAAGAAUAUAGAUCAACUUUAGUCUCAAUGAAUCAAAAUUGUCAAGCCAGGUUACCAAAAAUAAGCUGCGUGCAACAAAACAAAAUUCCAUGGACCAAUUCAGUAAUUCAAGUACCUAGCCUAUGGCAGAUCAACAAUAACCAAAUAUGAGAAGUACUUAAUCUCCUCAGGAGAUCCUCCUCGGGUGGCAUUUGAGAUUGCACACAGAACCUCCAAUUUCACUUCAAAUCCAGUAGUCUCUUUCUCGAAGGUGGCGUAGAAGAGAUGGGAUGAUAUUAGCCUCAAUAACUUUCUGUUUCAUAGAAAUAUUUAAGUUGAUAAUAAAAGGGUGCUUAACAUUUCCUAUGGUUUGGCAUGCUGCAUUACAAAAGAACCAUCAACCUCAUUGUCUCCCUAUGGCCUUUUGUUUCUAGGUGUUCAUUUUGUAUGGGUUUAUAGUUUAAUGUUCUAUUUAGUGGGCGAGAUUGUUGGCAACAACUUAUUGAAUCCAUUGUUUGGGAUCAUAAUAAAUUAAAAGUUGCUUCAGCUACACAGCCUAGAGCCCUGAGCAUUAUACGAGGACGUAUGUAGGAGUAGCUCACUACCUUCUGGGUGGAAUUGCCACAACAUGGGUGUUCUUCUGAGCAAGAAUUAUUACAGUCGGAUAAUGGCUAGGAGGAGCUAGAAGGAAAAUAUACCUGUAUUCUAUCCUUAUUUCCUGCUGUGAUGGUUGAGAUUGCCCAACAAAUGUCUUUCAAGAGAUGGUCAUUUAGGGCUUCCUGGUUGAUAAUAUUAAGUAGAGCUGGGAAUACCUGACACUCAAUUAGAACCUGGAACACAGCAACUGUGUUGGAUCUACCCCCAUUUCAUUAGAUAUAUAUGUAGAGAGAGAGAGAGAGAAUAAGAUAUCAAAUUUUCCUUGUAGCUAUUUUAUGUUAAAAUAUGCAGUACAGUUAAACAUAUACCAACACCACACGGUCAUUUCGAAAAUAAUGUGUCCAAAUUACCUUCUUUAAUAUAAUUCAAACUGGGCAUUAUUUUAAUUUUGGGGGAGUGGGAAACCUUAUGUUAGAACCAAGGGGGCCUUAAUUAGGACCAAGCACAUUAAUGAACACACUAUCACAUGCAAAAGAUGCUGCUGUAAGAACAUUCAAACCUAUACAAAUCAAGAAAUACCUGAAACUGAGAAUCAUUAUCCUUAAAGAUGUUCCUAAUUGUCCAAAGCGCUGCUUGGACAACCUUUCUAAAUGUAUGACUGGCAGAAACACAAUUAACAUUAAUAGAAGUGGUUAAAAAAACCGACCAUAAAAGGUAACUAACAGAAUGCAUACACAGGCAAAAAAAUCAUGUGAUUUUGACAGAUUAAAUCAUGCUAUGGGUCACAGGGUAGCAACAAAGGGAGUGUCAUGGGAUAGAAGCAUUGGGGAUAAAUAUGUAUUGGCUGGAUCCAAAUAUGCAGUUCUCUAGGGAUUUAUUUUGUAAAAUGAAUUCUAGAACAUGUGGAAGUAUUGUUGCCUCAUUCUAUGAAUGAUACAAGUAGAUCCUUUCAUACAUGUACAUUGUGGACAUAUGAACAAACUUACUCAAGAAGAAUCACGAGCCUCCCACAAAUAUUUGCAUCCACCACACACUGAAUUUGCUCAAUAGGAGCAUCUGACAAGUAAGAUAGGGCUAAGCACGCCUCCCUGUAUAUAUUGUCCAUUAGGCGGUGCGUUUCCAAAUGAAUUAGUCUAUGAAGAACUGGUAAUGCAGACUGUAUCUGUAAGGGGAAAAAAUAUCUUGUACUAGUUCAACAACAGUGAACUUAUCAACCUAAACUGCUAGCUACUUCAAAUCCAUUAUAUUUGCAAACUAAAAUUGAACAAAUUUUUGGUUUUUGGUUUCGGUUUUCAAAAAUCAAAAUAUUCGGUUUCGGUUUCGAUUUAUGUUGAAACCGAACUGAAAAAAACCGAAAAACCGAGUUAUAAUAAAAAAUAUAUAUAAUAUGACUAAUAUAGGGGAUUAGGGAUUUAGGGUUUUCACUUUCACUCCGCCGUCCAAUUCCUCAUUUCUCUUCUUCUCUCUGCGACUCUGCCCUAGUGUUCUUGACUCCUUGCGCCAUCCCCGUGCGUCUUGUCUAGUCGUCUGGGAUUCCCCCACCCCCCUGCUACUGCUACGCAGCUAGCCAGCACCCAGCGGCCAGCACCAGUAGCCACGGCCCACGCUGAAUCUGCCUCUCGAGUCUCGGCACUCUCCGCUAUCGUCGUCUCUCACUCUCUCGGCUGCGAUUCCCACCCCCCCUGCUAGGUUGCUAGCCACGCUGAAUCUGCUAUCAUCGUCUCUCAGUCUCUCGUCUGCGAUUCCCUCCCUGCUAGGUUGCUGCCUCUCCGUCUCUCUGUCUAUCGUCGUCUCUCACUCUUGCCUCUCUCGGACUCUCAGCCUUCGAGCUGCACCAGCAGGUCCAGCGCCACUGCCACCACCUCUGCCUGGCGCCUGCGGCUCUGCCUCCCUCCCGUGUCUUCAGAGCAGCUGUAAGUUUAUAUGUUUUCUUUUGGGAUGUAGAUGUAAGUUUAAUCUCACAUGAAACGUGAUGUAGAUCAGUAGAUGUUGAAUGUGUUAACUUGCCUUAUUUUUUGUUUUCAUUUUAAUUUUUUCCUAAGUUUGACGGUUUCACUAUAUGAAACAAAUUUGUUAACAUAUGUUUUCUUUAUUAGUAUAAACACUAAUAUUACAAAAC
Malania oleifera is the source of this 3182-nucleotide long non-coding RNA. RefSeq lists it as uncharacterized. The record is from RefSeq and is a predicted model, not a curated record. The transcript is spliced from 2 exons. Lineage: Eukaryota; Viridiplantae; Streptophyta; Magnoliopsida; Santalales; Ximeniaceae.